RNAcentral lists this ribosomal RNA (253 nucleotides) under uncultured bacterium. Its description in RNAcentral is "partial 16S ribosomal RNA". It matches the Rfam family "Bacterial small subunit ribosomal RNA", at positions 524 to 776 of the family's 1533-position model. The record is from RNAcentral.
UACGUAGGGCGCAAGCGUUGUCCGGAAUUAUUGGGCGUAAAGAGCUCGUAGGCGGCUUGUCACGUCGGUUGUGAAAGCCCGGGGCUUAACCCCGGGUCUGCAGUCGAUACGGGCAGGCUAGAGUUCGGUAGGGGAGAUCGGAAUUCCUGGUGUAGCGGUGAAAUGCGCAGAUAUCAGGAGGAACACCGGUGGCGAAGGCGGCCCCCUGGUUGGAUACUGACGCUGAGACGCGAAAGCGUGGGGAGCAAACAGG